RNAcentral lists this ribosomal RNA (418 nucleotides) under Aeromonas veronii. RNAcentral describes it as "partial 16S ribosomal RNA". Lineage: Bacteria; Pseudomonadati; Pseudomonadota; Gammaproteobacteria; Aeromonadales; Aeromonadaceae. The record is from RNAcentral.
UGCGAGUACGUCACAGCUGGCAGUUAUUAGCUACCAACCUUUCCUCCUCGCUGAAAGUGCUUUACAACCCGAAGGCCUUCUUCACACACGCGGCAUGGCUGCAUCAGGGUUUCCCCCAUUGUGCAAUAUUCCCCACUGCUGCCUCCCGUAGGAGUCUGGACCGUGUCUCAGUUCCAGUGUGGCUGAUCAUCCUCUCAGACCAGCUAGGGAUCGUCGCCUUGGUGAGCCAUUACCUCACCAACUAGCUAAUCCCACCUGGGUUCAUCCAAUCGCGCAAGGCCCGAAGGUCCCCUGCUUUCCCCCGUAGGGCGUAUGCGGUAUUAGCUACCGUUUCCAGUAGUUAUCCCCCUCGACUGGGCAGAUCCCCAGGCAUUACUCACCCGUCCGCCGCUCGCCGGCAAAAGUAGCAAGCUACUUU